RNAcentral lists this long non-coding RNA (969 nucleotides) under Sus scrofa (pig). RNAcentral's name for it is "lncRNA (ENSSSCG00045007522.1)". Lineage: Eukaryota; Metazoa; Chordata; Mammalia; Artiodactyla; Suidae. The record is from RNAcentral.
GCAACAAGAUGGCGAGCCUGCCGGGCGGGACUCACGGGCUGUACCCUGAGGCGCUGAGCCCCGAGCAGCUGGAGCAGCUGCGCGGCUAUAAGAUUCAGAUUCGGAUUACUAAUGAAAAGUACCUAAGGACCCACAAAGAAGUGGAGUUGCUCGUAAGUGGUUUCUUCAGGGUCUGAACAUUAGAAAACAGCCUAAGAUUAGAUUUUUUUUCUAAUGCUGAGGUUUGGGACUCCCGUGGUUUUCUUGUUAUUGCUAGUGAUUUCCUUGUUAUCUCCAAAUUCUCAAAAAUAUCAAUAUUCAUUCUCUUUAGCUAUAAGGACAAAUAUAUACCUCCUGACACUUAGAAGAGGGAAUUCGUCAUUAAGAAACUCAGCAGGCAGUCAUUGGGUGUAAAGACUUCUCGCUGUCAGAGGCAUUUAACAAGAUCACUAGAACUUUUAAAAAAUUCCCAUAUCUUGGGAGUUCCUGUCGUGGCUCAGUGGUUAAUGAGUCCGACUAGGAACCAUGAGGUUUCGGGUUUGAUCCCCGGCCUUGCUCAGUGGGUUAAGGAUCCAGCAUUGCCGUGAGCUGUGGUGUAGGUCGAAGACGAGGCUUGGAUCCUGCGUUGCUGUGGCUGUGGUGUAGGCCGGCAGCUACAGCUCCGAUUAGACCCCUAGCCUGGGAACCCCCAUAUGCUAGGCAAAAAGGCAAAAAAGGAGUUCCCGUCGUGGCGCAGUGGUUAACUAAUCCGACUAGGAACCAUGAGGUUGCAGGUUCGAUCCCUGCCCUUGCUCAGUGGGUUAACAAUCCGGCGUUGCCAUGAGCUGUGGUGUAGGUUGCUGUGGCUCUGGCGUAGGCCGGUGGCUACAGCUCCGAUUCCACCCCUAGCCUGGGAACCUCCAUAUGCCGCGGGAGCGGCCCAAGAAACAGCAACAACAACAACAACAACAAAAGACAAAAAGGCAAAAAAAAAAAAAAAAAAAAAAAAAG